Molecule: ribosomal RNA, 253 nt
Filed under: uncultured bacterium
Lineage: Bacteria
Description: partial 16S ribosomal RNA
Rfam family: Bacterial small subunit ribosomal RNA
Source: RNAcentral
UACGAAGGGAGCUAGCGUUGUUCGGAAUCACUGGGCGUAAAGCGCACGUAGGCGGAUGUGUAAGUCAGGGGUGAAAUCCCGGAGCUCAACUUCGGAACUGCCUUUGAUACUGCACGUCUUGAGUCCGAUAGAGGUGAGUGGAAUUCCUAGUGUAGAGGUGAAAUUCGUAGAUAUUAGGAAGAACACCGGUGGCGAAGGCGGCCCACUGGAUCGGUACUGACGCUGAGGUGCGAAAGCGUGGGGAGCAAACAGG